GCAUCCGUAGCUCAGCUGGAUAGAGUAUUCGGCUACGAACCGAGCGGUCGGAGGUUCGAAUCCUCCCGGAUGCACCA
RNAcentral lists this transfer RNA (77 nucleotides) under Escherichia coli. RNAcentral's name for it is "tRNA-Arg". It matches the Rfam family "tRNA". From Rfam's summary of the family: Transfer RNA (tRNA) molecules are approximately 80 nucleotides in length. RNAcentral also lists the same sequence under 10 other names. The record is from RNAcentral. Lineage: Bacteria; Pseudomonadati; Pseudomonadota; Gammaproteobacteria; Enterobacterales; Enterobacteriaceae.